RNAcentral lists this ribosomal RNA (468 nucleotides) under uncultured bacterium. RNAcentral's name for it is "partial 16S ribosomal RNA". It matches the Rfam family "Bacterial small subunit ribosomal RNA", at positions 28 to 507 of the family's 1533-position model. The record is from RNAcentral.
GACGAACGCUGGCGGCGUGCUUAACACAUGCGAGUCGAACGGAAAGGCCCUGCUUUUGUGGGGUGCUCGAGUGGCGAACGGGUGAGUAACACGUGAGUAACCUGCCCUUGACUUUGGGAUAACUUCAGGAAACUGGGGCUAAUACCGGAUAGGAGCUCCUGCUGCAUGGUGGGGGUUGGAAAGUUUCGGCGGUUGGGGAUGGACUCGCGGCUUAUCAGCUUGUUGGUGGGGUAGUGGCUUACCAAGGCUUUGACGGGUUGCCGGCCUGGGAGGGUGACCGGCCACAUUGGGACUGAGAUACGGCCCAGACUCCUACGGGAGGCAGCAGUGGGGAAUAUUGCACAAUGGGCGGAAGCCUGAUGCAGCAACGCCGCGUGCGGGAUGACGGCCUUCGGGUUGUAAACCGCUUUCGCCUGUGACGAAGCGUGAGUGACGGUAAUGGGUAAAGAAGCACCGGCUAACUACGUG